GUCAGAGGCGAUGAAGGACGUGCUAAUCUGCGAUAAGCGUCGGUAAGGUGAUAUGAACCGUUAUAACCGGCGAUUUCCGAAUGGGGAAACCCAGUGUGUUUCGACACACUAUCAUUAACUGAAUCCAUAGGUUAAUGAGGCGAACCGGGGGAACUGAAACAUCUAAGUACCCCGAGGAAAAGAAAUCAACCGAGAUUCCCCCAGUAGCGGCGAGCGAACGGGGAGCAGCCCAGAGCCUGAAUCAGUGUGUGUGUUAGUGGAAGCGUCUGGAAAGGCGCGCGAUACAGGGUGACAGCCCCGUACACAAAAAUGCACAUGCUGUGAGCUCGAUGAGUAGGGCGGGACACGUGGUAUCCUGUCUGAAUAUGGGGGGACCAUCCUCCAAGGCUAAAUACUCCUGACUGACCGAUAGUGAACCAGUACCGUGAGGGAAAGGCGAAAAGAACCCCGGCGAGGGGAGUGAAAAAGAACCUGAAACCGUGUACGUACAAGCAGUGGGAGCACGCUUAGGCGUGUGACUGCGUACCUUUUGUAUAAUGGGUCAGCGACUUAUAUUCUGUAGCAAGGUUAACCGAAUAGGGGAGCCGAAGGGAAACCGAGUCUUAACUGGGCGUUAAGUUGCAGGGUAUAGACCCGAAACCCGGUGAUCUAGCCAUGGGCAGGUUGAAGGUUGGGUAACACUAACUGGAGGACCGAACCGACUAAUGUUGAAAAAUUAGCGGAUGACUUGUGGCUGGGGGGGAAAGGCCAAUCAAACCGGGAGAUAGCUGGUUCUCCCCGAAAGCUAUUUAGGUAGCGCCUCGUGAAUUCAUCUCCGGGGGUAGAGCACUGUUUCGGCAAGGGGGUCAUCCCGACUUACCAACCCGAUGCAAACUGCGAAUACCGGAGAAUGUUAUCACGGGAGACACACGGCGGGUGCUAACGUCCGUCGUGAAGAGGGAAACAACCCAGACCGCCAGCUAAGGUCCCAAAGUCAUGGUUAAGUGGGAAACGAUGUGGGAAGGCCCAGACAGCCAGGAUGUUGGCUUAGAAGCAGCCAUCAUUUAAAGAAAGCGUAAUAGCUCACUGGUCGAGUCGGCCUGCGCGGAAGAUGUAACGGGGCUAAACCAUGCACCGAAGCUGCGGCAGCGACGCUGAUGCGUUGUUGGGUAGGGGAGCGUUCUGUAAGCCUGCGAAGGUGUGCUGUGAGGCAUGCUGGAGGUAUCAGAAGUGCGAAUGCUGACAUAAGUAACGAUAAAGCGGGUGAAAAGCCCGCUCGCCGGAAGACCAAGGGUUCCUGUCCAACGUUAAUCGGGGCAGGGUGAGUCGACCCCUAAGGCGAGGCCGAAAGGCGUAGUCGAUGGGAAACAGGUUAAUAUUCCUGUACUUGGUGUUACUGCGAAGGGGGGACGGAGAAGGCUAUGUUGGCCGGGCGACGGUUGUCCCGGUUUAAGCGUGUAGGCUGGUUUUCCAGGCAAAUCCGGAAAAUCAAGGCUGAGGCGUGAUGACGAGGCACUACGGUGCUGAAGCAACAAAUGCCCUGCUUCCAGGAAAAGCCUCUAAGCAUCAGGUAACAUCAAAUCGUACCCCAAACCGACACAGGUGGUCAGGUAGAGAAUACCAAGGCGCUUGAGAGAACUCGGGUGAAGGAACUAGGCAAAAUGGUGCCGUAACUUCGGGAGAAGGCACGCUGAUAUGUAGGUGAAGUCCCUUGCGGAUGGAGCUGAAAUCAGUCGAAGAUACCAGCUGGCUGCAACUGUUUAUUAAAAACACAGCACUGUGCAAACACGAAAGUGGACGUAUACGGUGUGACGCCUGCCCGGUGCCGGAAGGUUAAUUGAUGGGGUUAGCGCAAGCGAAGCUCUUGAUCGAAGCCCCGGUAAACGGCGGCCGUAACUAUAACGGUCCUAAGGUAGCGAAAUUCCUUGUCGGGUAAGUUCCGACCUGCACGAAUGGCGUAAUGAUGGCCAGGCUGUCUCCACCCGAGACUCAGUGAAAUUGAACUCGCUGUGAAGAUGCAGUGUACCCGCGGCAAGACGGAAAGACCCCGUGAACCUUUACUAUAGCUUGACACUGAACAUUGAGCCUUGAUGUGUAGGAUAGGUGGGAGGCUUUGAAGUGUGGACGCCAGUCUGCAUGGAGCCGACCUUGAAAUACCACCCUUUAAUGUUUGAUGUUCUAACGUUGACCCGUAAUCCGGGUUGCGGACAGUGUCUGGUGGGUAGUUUGACUGGGGCGGUCUCCUCCUAAAGAGUAACGGAGGAGCACGAAGGUUGGCUAAUCCUGGUCGGACAUCAGGAGGUUAGUGCAAUGGCAUAAGCCAGCUUGACUGCGAGCGUGACGGCGCGAGCAGGUGCGAAAGCAGGUCAUAGUGAUCCGGUGGUUCUGAAUGGAAGGGCCAUCGCUCAACGGAUAAAAGGUACUCCGGGGAUAACAGGCUGAUACCGCCCAAGAGUUCAUAUCGACGGCGGUGUUUGGCACCUCGAUGUCGGCUCAUCACAUCCUGGGGCUGAAGUAGGUCCCAAGGGUAUGGCUGUUCGCCAUUUAAAGUGGUACGCGAGCUGGGUUUAGAACGUCGUGAGACAGUUCGGUCCCUAUCUGCCGUGGGCGCUGGAGAACUGAGGGGGGCUGCUCCUAGUACGAGAGGACCGGAGUGGACGCAUCACUGGUGUUCGGGUUGUCAUGCCAAUGGCACUGCCCGGUAGCUAAAUGCGGAAGAGAUAAGUGCUGAAAGCAUCUAAGCACGAAACUUGCCCCGAGAUGAGUUCUCCCUGACCCUUUAAGGGUCCUGAAGGAACGUUGAAGACGACGACGUUGAUAGGCCGGGUGUGUAAGCGCAGCGAUGCGUUGAGCUAACCGGUACUAAUGAACCGUGAGGCUUAACCU
This 2865-nucleotide ribosomal RNA is filed under the name Escherichia coli 7-233-03_S3_C1. Its description in RNAcentral is "bacterial LSU rRNA". It matches the Rfam family "Bacterial large subunit ribosomal RNA". Lineage: Bacteria; Pseudomonadati; Pseudomonadota; Gammaproteobacteria; Enterobacterales; Enterobacteriaceae. The record is from RNAcentral.